Abrus precatorius (Indian licorice) is the source of this 1013-nucleotide RNA transcript. It is a transcript of the gene named F-box protein SKIP24, with no coding region annotated. The transcript is spliced from 4 exons. The record is from RefSeq and is a predicted model, not a curated record. Lineage: Eukaryota; Viridiplantae; Streptophyta; Magnoliopsida; Fabales; Fabaceae.
CAGCACUAAACUAGAUUACAAGAACAGAGACGAGACGAGAGCUUGAUCGGAAAGGUGAAGAGAAAGGUGUGGCAGAAGAAGUUGUUGGAUUUCCGAGGAUGUCUUCGCUUCCAGACGAACUGUGGCGGCGAAUUCUGGAAAUGGGAGUGGAAAGUGGGGAUUUGAGUUACAAGGAACUCUGCUGCGUCUCCAUCUCAUGCCGCCGCUUCCAUCGCCUCUCCUCCGAAGAUUCUCUCUGGAACCGCCUUAUCUCUUCCCACUUUCCUCAAACCAAACCACUCCUCCUUUCUCCCCCUUCUUCUAAAUCCCUUUAUAAAUUAAGGUUCGAGAGAGACAAGGAGAGGAGAAUAGCGGCUCAUAGGAGGGUUCUAUUCAGAAAGCAGAGCCAGAUUUCCGAACAUGCUAGAAGGCUCAGAGAUAUUGAGACACGUGUGGCUCAUGAAACCAUCAAAGCCAAAGAAACUGCUCAAGAGUUAUAUAAUUUGCGUAGGGUCAGACAAGCCUCUGUAUCUUUGAAUGUGUGGCAACCGGAGGUUGUCCGGGGUAGGCAAAGACAGAUGGUGGAGCAAUGUGAUGUACCUGCAGAAUUUCGGAUACGUGCAGUUGAGAUGGAACUCAUGCUCUGUAAGCAACAGAUUGUGGGGUUGGAGAAGUCCUAUGUAAGUGUUGAUAUUUCCAUAUGACAUUUAAAGGUUCGAUGGCUUGUUACUUACACAAAAUUGUACCAGAAAGAUGAAAAGCGCAGGCUUAAGAUUGCAAAAGAAGAGUUGGCAUCAAUGAAUUAUCAUCCUGUCCAGCAGCACACCCCUUUGAGUGGAGGGGAGAAUGAACACAAUGUUAAGCGGAAGAAGUUGAAAAUUUGUAAUAGCUACAUUGCAUCGGAUGAUGAGUUGAAGUUAUGGGAAGACGAAAUUUGCUGUUCUUUCUUCCAUUGAAAAGUUGUUCCUGCCGCGAAGACUGACUGUGUGAAUCCUCUGAUCAUUGUGGAUAGGAUUAAGUAGCAAUAAGGAUAA